GCAGCUAUGACUCCACCAGAGGAGGAAUUGAAGAGAAUGGGCUCCCCAGAGGAAAGAAGGCAGAACUCCGUGUCAGACUUCCCACCCGCUGCUGGCCGGGAAUUCAUUUUGCGCACCACUGUGCCGCGCCCUGCUCCCUACUCCAAAGCUCUGCCUCAGCGGAUGUACAGUGUUCUCACCAAAGAGGACUUUAGACUUGCAGUUAAAAUAAUCGAUGGGGAUGUGUAGCCCCCCGUGUGAGGAUGACAUCACCACAUUUCUAGUUUCAUGGAGCUCAAGAUGUCUUGUGUCUGUGUCGCUAGAUGGCCUCUGCUUGGUAAUCUUAUUUUUAGGCCUAAAAUUCCCACUUAAAUCCAAAGUAAAAAUGGUUAUACUGAAGCAUAAACCUUGCCUGUGUAAUUUUAAAGAAUUAAUAGAGCUGUGCAAACCCUGUUAUUUUUGUAAA
This 445-nucleotide small RNA is filed under the name Pan troglodytes (chimpanzee). RNAcentral describes it as "retained intron". Lineage: Eukaryota; Metazoa; Chordata; Mammalia; Primates; Hominidae. The record is from RNAcentral.